This is a long non-coding RNA of Ctenopharyngodon idella (grass carp), 1459 nucleotides long. RefSeq lists it as uncharacterized. Lineage: Eukaryota; Metazoa; Chordata; Actinopteri; Cypriniformes; Xenocyprididae. The record is from RefSeq and is a predicted model, not a curated record. The transcript has 6 exons.
UGCACUGAGCUCUGGUUCUGCUGCUGUUGUCGACACUUUGCUCUGCGGUUUUUGAACCAAACCUGUGAAAUGAUAUCAAAGCCACACGUGCUUAGACUUUAGUGUGCUCAGAAACCAGCCCAAAGUCUUUCAUUGUGAUAAAGAAAGUGAUGAAGGGAAUUUGAUCUGAAACAAAGUGAUGCAACUGAGAAAUGAAGGAGUGUGAACAGUUUCCUCUGAGAGAAGAGAAUUAAUGUGGUUUUUAUCUGAAGUGAACUGACCCUUUAAUCACAUUCUGACAGUAUCGGUCAGGGAGGUCGUGAUGUAGUGUUGGUAAAUGAAGAUUUUCAUGGGCAAACGCACCUGAUUUACUUCAGAAAAUAUAUGAAGUGUGUGGUCACGAGUCUCUGAGCGGACGCGCUCAUCAGAACCGGCCCAAACACUGAUGGGUUCAGACAGGCCGUCGGCGGAGGUGAGGUAAACCCUUUCUUUCUGCUCUUUUUCAUUUAGUCCCACUCUUUUAUCAGCCUGAUCUGUCUUUCUGGCUCCUUUCCACCACUGCUGGGAACUUGAAGAAAUUCAGAGCCGACGGUUAUGUGAACAUGUCUUCCAUUUCAUUCUGCAAACAUUAUGAGAACGUUACUUUUGAAUGUUCUCUGAACGUUCUGAAACAAGUAGUAACAUUUAAAAAAUGUUCAAUGAACCUCCAACAAAACGCUCCAUGAACGAGGUAUAAAUAAUGUUUUUGUGCUAACGUUUUGAGAACAUUUUUAAAGACCUGAUAACUUUGAAUAAAUGUUCUAUUAAUCUGGCUCCUGAAGGAAGUCGAACAGAUCCGGAUGUUGAAGACAAAGAUGAUUAUUUUACUGUAUGGAUUCAUGCCUCUAUCGUGUGUUUGUGUUAACGUCUCACUCUGCCGUGCAGAGGAAAUUCUCUGGGAUUAUUUUAUGACGGACUGCUGGAAGCGGCGUAGCUCCAUGAGAGAAAUGAGCUCUUUGUCGGCCUGCUGUUUCCAGAGUUGAAGAACAAGAGAGGUUUAAUCCUCAUUGUUCCGCAGACUGGAGGGGGUGUGAAACGAUCCGACCGGCUUCCCUUAAUCCCAGCAGCCCCCAUCCCUCCAUCAGACAAUACAGACCCGAUCAUGGCCUGAAAGACAAGCAGAAACAUGUUCGCUGAUGCAAAGUAAGACUCUCUGAUCCUGCUGCUGCCCGAUUGUCUCUCGUCCCGCUGCGCUGGCGCCGCCAGAGAGACUCGACUGAGAUCAGACGCUGAUUGUGCCAGCGUAGCAUCUUUCCUCUUCAUCUGUCUCUGUACGGCUUUGUCUUCGGCUGCUGUAAACGCUGAAUGAGAGCGACCCGUACCUUUCUCCUCUGGUGUUUGAAGCUGUCUCUCCUCUUGCGAUGGAUCAGUCUGAUGCUGUACAGAGCGCCGACCAGCAGAAGAGCACCAGCUAUUCCAAUGCCAACAGGUGCCAACAUCC